This is a long non-coding RNA of Dreissena polymorpha, 1231 nucleotides long. RefSeq lists it as uncharacterized. The record is from RefSeq and is a predicted model, not a curated record. The transcript has 4 exons. Lineage: Eukaryota; Metazoa; Mollusca; Bivalvia; Myida; Dreissenidae.
AAGAGAUUAGCCCUCCCCCCCCCAAUUAAAUCAUAAACAUUAAUUCUUAUCACAGUAUCAGUGCUCCAUCUAUAGGCCUAACAAAGGGGUGUUGAUAGACCUUUGAUUGGCUGAGCCACCAUCUAUUUGAAAACAAGCGACUUUGAUUGGCUGGAGACAGGAAGUUAUGUUUUGAAAACAAAGGGGGUUUUCAUCAACUGACUUUGAGCUUUAAGGUAUAAUUGAGUAACAUUAAGACUUAUAAUUCUAGUUUAAAAUGUCUUGAAUAACUUUCAGCAUGAAGUAUUGUGUGGUGGAAACAAUGUGUAUGUACUACAAUGUGUAAAUCAACAAUAAGUUUGUUGCAAAGGAGAUUCAAAGUGGAUGGUUAAAGUGAUAUGGUCUCAUAAUUCAUCAACUGCCUGUUAUCUUGGAAUACUGAAGAACAGUUGUUUUAGGUUAAACUCCCAAGGUGAAAUUUACAUUGAUUGGAAGAUUCUUUGGAUAGAAUAUUCCUGCCAAAAGACAGCAGAAGGGGGACUAACUGAUGUAUGGAUUUUGACACCAGAUUUUACCCUGCACGAGCAGCCCAACUUGAGUAGAUCAGGAGUGGGAAAACCGAGCCCUGUCCUUGACCAAGGAAAGUUGGAUUUGUUGAGAGGACCUGAUCUCAAAUGAGAUCAUGCACAAGACGCACCUCGCAAAGGCCAUGACAGUAAAGUUUUCAGACCUGAUCAGCUGGUGACUGCUCUAUGAAGUGCUGUUCAACCUCCCCUAAGGGGGAGAUUCGAGAGGGUCUCCUGAUUGCUGAACACUACGCCAUGUUGUCAUCUCCAAAAAGUUUGCCCUGCCCAUAUCAACAGUGGAAGAGAACAUGAGAUGGGCCUUGAGGAGGCUUCGUGUCAUGUACUGCGGGGAGAAUAUAUAAACUGUUUAGUGCUGAGCAAUAUGUUCCUUUGUUCAUAGGUGUAAAUAUGUGUAAAGGGCUAUUCCAGGAAAAGAUAGGAUGAAGGAUUCCUUAAUGUUGUCAUUUUAUAAAUCCGGUACCACCAACACAGUUAAAAACAAUUAUUAUUAAUUUUAUCCUCUGUAUCACCCCUCACUAACUGAAACUGUAUAUAAUCAUGGUUCAUACCCUUCCUCCCAUUUUUACCUGUGGUAGCCCAAAGAGGAGAAUGUUAUUUAUUUUAAUUUAUUAUGUUAAAUGUGCUCGCAUAUUGUGAUAAUGUAUCUUGUGUAGAUGUUUUCCUGG